GUGUAUUCUUAAGUUAAUGACACUAAUAUCUAUAGCUGUUAUUGCUUGAGAAUACACGU
This 59-nucleotide microRNA precursor is filed under the name Limulus polyphemus (Atlantic horseshoe crab). RNAcentral describes it as "Lpo-Mir-137-P16_pre stem-loop". Lineage: Eukaryota; Metazoa; Arthropoda; Merostomata; Xiphosura; Limulidae. The record is from RNAcentral.